AGAAUCAGUAGGCAAUAUACAGCAACAAUUUGAUUGAAGCAUUUCUCAACAAGAUCAUAUCCUUGCAAAAACAAGAGAUGGCCACUGCUAAGGGAACUAGUAGUUCUGUGCCACCCCAGGGUGGAUCCUCUGCAAAAUCCAAAAGGCAGGCGGACAUUAAUCAAGAAGGGUUAAACCUUCUAGGACUUGAAGGUUUUAGUACACCUCCUCCUCGGAACAAUGGUCAGGGUGCUCACAGCCUCGCAUACCAAAUCAAAACACUAGCGCCCAAAGCCAGUCAAAUGGACUUCCUAUUCCAGGUAAUGACUUGACCGGAUUGGCCAUAUAGUUAAGGUAUAUGACAGAAGAAGAUGCAGUGAGUGUCAACAAUGGUUCAUCGUUCAAGCCUGUGUGUUGCUACAAUAUCAUGUACAUAUGUACAUAAGUAGUACAUAUAGUAAAGAAUAAUGUAAAUAUUAGCUGUCAAGGUCAACGCAUGCAUGGGAAGGAAACAAUUGUAGAAGUACAUGUAAUUUGUUUAUUUAAUUUGUUCAAAUUUGUUUGUAUAUAUAAGAUGUGAAGCUGUAUAUAUUGAUACCAGCUUUGACAAUAAUGUACAGCACAAUAAUGUUGAAUAACUCAAAGUGAAUCAUUUUAUGUUUCCAAAUA
This is a long non-coding RNA of Oryza sativa Japonica Group (Japanese rice), 648 nucleotides long. RefSeq lists it as uncharacterized. The record is from RefSeq and is a predicted model, not a curated record. NCBI's taxonomy places the organism in Eukaryota, Viridiplantae, Streptophyta, Magnoliopsida, Poales, Poaceae.